This is a long non-coding RNA of Rhincodon typus (whale shark), 437 nucleotides long. RefSeq lists it as uncharacterized. The transcript is spliced from 4 exons. The record is from RefSeq and is a predicted model, not a curated record. NCBI's taxonomy places the organism in Eukaryota, Metazoa, Chordata, Chondrichthyes, Orectolobiformes, Rhincodontidae.
GCACCCUCUACAGCAAUCUGCAUGUGGAAUCUGUGUGCACAGGGAAUGCAAGCGUCUAUCUCCUUAGCUGGAAAGGUUGAAGACCAUCGAUUCGGUCUCCUCCUGGGAAAAUAUGAGUGGAUGAAAAAAUAAUUAUGAUACGUUGCCGCAUCAGUAAACAUUAUGCCUGUCAGGAAAGUGAUAGUGAACUUCCUUCAACAUUGAAGAUGACUUGCUUCUACUCCAUUACAAUGGAUUCUGGGAGCAAUGAUAAGCCCAAUGCGUGAUCUACAUGGCUUAGAUGUUUGGAUUUAUAAGAUCAGCAGUGACACGAGGAGGGAACAAUGAAACAUGAAGUUUGGGGCGUUAUGGUGGAAGAACAUUGGAAAAUUUGGGGCCUGGUCUAAUUCUGGGAGUUGUAGUCUGAUUGUUUGCAAUGUUACAUCAGAAUCUCAUAA